Molecule: transfer RNA, 94 nt
Organism: Daedalea quercina L-15889
Lineage: Eukaryota; Fungi; Basidiomycota; Agaricomycetes; Polyporales; Fomitopsidaceae
Rfam family: tRNA
About the family: Transfer RNA (tRNA) molecules are approximately 80 nucleotides in length. Their secondary structure includes four short double-helical elements and three loops (D, anti-codon, and T loops).
Source: Rfam
GGCUCAAUGGUCUAGUCGUAUGAUUCGCGCUUCGGGUGCAGUCUUGUUCUUGAAUAUUUGCGCGAGGUCCCGGGUUCAAUUCCCGGUUGAGCCC